Paralichthys olivaceus (Japanese flounder) is the source of this 296-nucleotide non-coding RNA. The record is from RefSeq and is a predicted model, not a curated record. Lineage: Eukaryota; Metazoa; Chordata; Actinopteri; Pleuronectiformes; Paralichthyidae.
AAGAGGAGGAGGAGGAGGAGGAGGAAGAGGAGGAGGUGUCUCGAUGAGUCUCCGGUAGAAGACCCGUUAACGUCCAGGGACCAUGAGGAGAGUCACGCUGUUCGUUAACGGAAGCUCCACUGACGGGAAGGUGGUUCCGGUGUUCGGGUCCCUGGAGGAGCUCCUGACCGCGGCCAGCUCCAAGCUGCGGGUUCGAGCCUCCGGUGUUUACAACGGCAGCGGCGGCCUCAUCGAUGACGUCACCCUGAUCAGAGAUGAGGACGUGUUGUACAUAUCAGAGGCAGAUUCACCUGAAG